Molecule: ribosomal RNA, 497 nt
Filed under: uncultured bacterium
Lineage: Bacteria
Description: partial 16S ribosomal RNA
Rfam family: Bacterial small subunit ribosomal RNA
Source: RNAcentral
GAUGAACGCUGGCGGCGUGCCUAAUACAUGCAAGUAGAACGCUGAAGGAAGGAGCUUGCUCUUUCCGUCUGAGUUGCUAACGGGUGAGUAACGCGUAUGUAACCUGCCUGGUAUCGGGGGAUAACUAUUGGAAACGAUAGCUAAUACCGCAUAACAGUAGAUGUUGCAUGAUAUCUACUUAAAAGGUGCAAUUUCACCACUACCAGAUGGACCUUCGUUGUAUUAGCUAGUUGGUGAGGUAACGGCUCACCAAGGCGACGAUACAUAGCCGACCUGAGAGGGUGAUCGGCCAAAAUGGGACUGAGCCACGGCACAGACUCCUACGGGAGGCAGCAGUAGGGAAUCGUAGGAAAUGGACGGAAGUCUGACCGAGAAACGCCGAGUGAGUGAAGAAGGUUGUCGGAUCGGAAAGCUCUGUUGUAAGAGAAGAACGAGUGUGAGAGUGGAAAGUUCACACUGUGACGGUAGCUUACCAGAAAGGGACGGCUAACUACGUG